CCCAUGGUUAUGGCUUAUAUGAUUUUAUUUGAUUUAACAACCUUGCCCAUUUUAUGAAUUUGUUAUUCCUCAGUUGUCCAACAUUUUGCCCCAUAUGUCAUGACCAGUCUACUACCCAUCAUAUAGAAUUUCUCUUUCAGUUUUAUUAGUAUAAGACAAUUUUACAAAAUUUCAUAGGAACACAUUUACAGUUUACUUGCCAUGCCCUAAAUAUACAAGCAAUAUCUUUCUCAGUCACUUCAUCGUAGUCGGGUUUAUCCGAUGAGUGGCUUAGAAAUGUACUCAAGGCAAUUUCACAAAAUUCCAGAGGCUCACAUCUCGAAUUUAUUCACCAUGCUCUAAAUCUUACAAGCAAUAUCAUUCGCUCUAUCCAUGUCCUUUCAAGACUAUCGCUUGCUCGUUUAAAACUUUUAACUUGUACUAACCAACUCCUAAACUGUAUCUUCAGUUAAGUCAUAUAUGUGUUAAAUCUUUUGUUACAACUUCCACCCAUGUCCCAUUAAGCCUUUUAUUUGCCCUUUUACGACCUUCAAAUUAAACCAACUAACACUAUCAAAGAUUAAAUCUUUUGUUACUACCUAUACCAUUGUCCCUUUAGGCCUUUUAUUUGCACUUUUGCCCUUUUUUUUAACACUUAAAAAUCAUCCUAGUCAACUUUACCUCAUAUUAUUACUCAUUGGUGUUACUUAUGACUUUUGUUGAAUGUAUUUGUUCUUAGUUAUGUCAUUCCUUGUCUUUUUUGACAGAAAUUUCACAAAACUAUCUAGGUAUACAACUUUACUAUAUUCACCUUACUCUAAAUUUAUACGAACCUUUCAUGAUCGCUUAAUUUGGCUACAUUCAACUUGAUGGACUCGACAAAACAUCUAAUAUGGUUUUACGCUGUUCUCCCCCUCUCAAUUGUUCUCUGUGGUGUGGUUCAUUUGAUUUCUUUUUCCAACUUAAAAUAAUUGCGCUUAUGCAGGGAAACUUCCUUUGUGUGACAGAAUCUGAUUUGGAGGAUAUGGGGCCUGCCUGAUUUUGCAGGAUCUCAUUCCCAAAUGGUUACUAUAUAAGAAGUUAUUAUUUUGAAGACUAUGGAGCUAUUCAUUUUUUUAAGGCUAUGGACUCAUUAAUCAGUCAUACCUACCAAUUUGAAUCCCCAUUCAGGAGGGAUUCCCUAUCAUAUGUUUUCAGUGAAUUGACGUUUGCUUGCACUACUCUGUCAUGGUUAUUUCAAUUCAGUGUGAGGACAUUUCGACAGGCAAUACUCUUGUUGUUUGGGGCAGAGUGGAAAACAUAGCCAACCUUCAUGCAGGCUGCCAUUUCCACUUUUGAUGCUACAAAUCACAAAUGAGAUAAGACUUCCUACAAUAGCUAUUGAAAAGGUCCUUGUUGCAAACAACACAUCGUGGUCCAAGAUGAAGUCCUAUCCCAUAGGUUGGGCCUCAUUCCCAUCAAAGCUGACCCAAGGCUGUUUGAAUAUGUUUCAGAAAAUGACUCUGCAAUAUCUUGGUGUGGUUCAAUGAUCCCCAAUUACACCUUUGGUCAACAGGUACUUCUUCAAGGUCUUUCUUCAAGGGAUUUGAUAUGUGGAAGGAAGAAACCAUAAUGAAGUCUUUGCUUUUUGGUGGAAUAUCUACAGCAGGUAGUGCAUGGAGCAAUUCCUAGCGCCUACUUUGAAUCUGAAACUGCUGUCCCAGCUGCUGAGAUGUCAGUUCACAUUCUCAACCAUCUUUAUAAGCAGUUGGAUGAAGUUUGUCCUGUGUGAGGUGGUGAGGUUCGAGAAACAUUCUACCACUCUGUAUGUCUGUUUGUGGUUCUUUGGUUUUAUAUGAUUCUAGUAAAUGAUUUCCUUAGUCAAGGAAGGUUUCUGGAUUAUCUUU
This is an RNA transcript of Magnolia sinica, 1865 nucleotides long. RefSeq lists it as uncharacterized. Lineage: Eukaryota; Viridiplantae; Streptophyta; Magnoliopsida; Magnoliales; Magnoliaceae. The record is from RefSeq and is a predicted model, not a curated record. The transcript has 6 exons.